UACUUGUGGAAGCAAGUCAGGAAGUCACUGUGCACACAAGGAGUCGGGAUUUAUGAUCCUUCUUUUUGAGGAGGGAGUAUCUACAAGUUAUUUGGAAUUCUUCAUGGAUGAUUUUUUUUCUUAUUACCUUAUUUAUGGACAUGAGCCAUUAGGAUUUUUACAUCUUCCUGAUGAAUUAGCCCUUUUAUUAUUAUGAAUUGUUCCUCUAUUUAUGCAGUAUUCCUUCACUUGAAGCCUAUUCUCUAUGAUAUUAAUAUAAGACAGGGUCUGACUCUGUCACCAAGUUGAAGUGCAGUGGCACGAUCAUAGCUCACUGCAACCUCCGCUUCCCAGGCUCAAGUGAUUCUCCAGCCUCAGCCUCCUGAGUAGCUAUGACUACAGGUGGAUAUCACCACUCCUGACUUCUUAUUAUCUGUAUAUGCAGCCUUAGGCAAGUGACUGCCUCUUGCACUUGCUCUCCCAGCUUUGAAUUGGGGAAGUGGGACAUGUGGAUGAAAUCAUCUGUAAAGCUCCUCUCAGCUGCUGCAGUCUGGAGGUAGGAUGCUGUCUCAUCAUCCAGCUUCCCCAAACUGUUUGCUUUAUCACCUGCUACACUUGAUCAUCUACACGGGAGUUACCCACCUUGUCCAUGACGACUGGAAGUGUUUACAUUCCCUGCUGGGAGAUUUGUUUCUCUCUCUCUGCUUUGCUUAAAAUGUCCACACUGGAGUAGGGAUAAACUUAAGGAAGGCAUAUUCCUUUAAUCUAAUAUAUAUUAUUAGAUUAUAUGUUUUUAUAAUGUAACAUUACAGGUACCUAUAAUAGCGCAACAGAUUUCCUCAAUAGCAAAUCUAAAUAUAUAAGUAGAACCUUCACCCUACUUCCCAAUAGGAAAUACACAUGGCUUCUGUAAUAUUAUGAAAUCCAUGGUCUUCCUCUCUCAACUUUGGUGCCCAUAACCAGAAGCUCAUUUUGCCAGGACAAAAAGAGGUUAAAGCACCUCAGGUGCCCUCAGCUGGGGAAUCCUAGAAAACUGAAGGUUAUAGCAGAACUUGAGAGCAAAGGCCGUUGAAGUCCAGGCCAUUGAUCAAUAGCUGCAGCCUCAACUCCCUUUUCCUUCCCUCUCAACCCCUCACCCCCUCACCCCCUCCUCUUUUCCGCCAACACACUCUUUUUCCUGGAAACCCUCUCCUGGCCUCCACCGCUACAGCUUGUGGGAGAUAAGACAUGUGUCCCACGGGUGGGGGAGGCCAAGCCUGUGUGAGUGAUUUUACAAAAGGUUCACUUUGGGUGAUAAGAACAGGGUUAUGACUGUUCUACUUAGAGCUAAGCCAGGGAAGAGGGGGACAGCUUUGAAGGAAGGUUUCUCAGUGGAAGAUUUGUUCAUUUGUUUCCUCCCUCCUGAAACCC
Molecule: long non-coding RNA, 1389 nt
Organism: Pan troglodytes (chimpanzee)
Lineage: Eukaryota; Metazoa; Chordata; Mammalia; Primates; Hominidae
Exons: 4
Source: RefSeq, a predicted model, not a curated record